CCUACGGGGGGCUGCAGUGGGGAAUAUUGGACAAUGGGCGAAAGCCUGAUCCAGCCAUGCCGCGUGUGUGAAGAAGGCCUUCGGGUUGUAAAGCACUUUCAGUGGGGAAGAAAGCCUUGGGGCUAAUACCCUCGAGGAAGGACAUCACCCACAGAAGAAGCACCGGCUACCUCCGUGCCAGCAGCCGCGGUAAUACGGAGGGUGCGAGCGUUAAUCGGAAUUACUGGGCGUAAAGCGCGCGUAGGCGGUCUGAUAAGCCGGUUGUGAAAGCCCCGGGCUCAACCUGGGAACGGCAUCCGGAACUGUCAGGCUAGAGUGCAGGAGAGGAAGGUAGAAUUCCCGGUGUAGCGGUGAAAUGCGUAGAGAUCGGGAGGAAUACCAGUGGCGAAGGCGGCCUUCUGGACUGACACUGACGCUGAGGUGCGAAAGCGUGGGUAGCAAACAGGAUUAGAUACCCCUGUAGUC
This 465-nucleotide ribosomal RNA is filed under the name Vreelandella stevensii. RNAcentral's name for it is "partial 16S ribosomal RNA". It matches the Rfam family "Bacterial small subunit ribosomal RNA", at positions 338 to 795 of the family's 1533-position model. Lineage: Bacteria; Pseudomonadati; Pseudomonadota; Gammaproteobacteria; Oceanospirillales; Halomonadaceae. The record is from RNAcentral.